AAACCAUGAUGAGGGCAUUGAGAACAUUAGCCCUUGAACCUCUCCCAUGCUUCACUGAAGCUCUCUAGACCACAGUGUCACUUGGGAGAGUCUUCUCCCACUGGUGUGCCU
This 111-nucleotide small nucleolar RNA is filed under the name Brassica oleracea var. oleracea. RNAcentral describes it as "Plant small nucleolar RNA R71". It matches the Rfam family "Plant small nucleolar RNA R71". From Rfam's summary of the family: R71 is a member of the C/D box family of snoRNAs containing the C (UGAUGA) and D (CUGA) box motifs. The record is from Rfam by way of RNAcentral. Lineage: Eukaryota; Viridiplantae; Streptophyta; Magnoliopsida; Brassicales; Brassicaceae.